UACGUAGGGUGCGAGCGUUGUCCGGAAUUAUUGGGCGUAAAGAGCUCGUAGGCGGUCUGUCGCGUCGGUCGUGAAAACUUGGGGCUUAACCCUGAGCUUGCGGUCGAUACGGGCAUGACUGGAGUUCGGCAGGGGAGACUGGAAUUCCUGGUGUAGCGGUGAAAUGCGCAGAUAUCGGGAAGAACACCCGUGGCGAAGGCGGUUCUCUGGGACGGUACUGACGCUGAGACGCGAAAGCGUGGGGAGCGAACAGG
This 254-nucleotide ribosomal RNA is filed under the name uncultured bacterium. RNAcentral describes it as "partial 16S ribosomal RNA". It matches the Rfam family "Bacterial small subunit ribosomal RNA", at positions 524 to 776 of the family's 1533-position model. The record is from RNAcentral.